UGCCGCUGGUACUUUUCACACCGGCUUGCUUUUCUCUGUUACUCUGCACCGUUUUUGACAGUCAUCAAAGCGUGGGAUCAUCAUGGUGCUCGAUUUAGACCAAUUUCGAACCGAUAAAGGCGGUGAUCCUGAAGUAAUCAGAGAAACUCAAAGAAAAAGGUUCAAAGAUGUGUCACUUGUGGAUAAACUAGUACACGCAGACACAGAAUGGAGAAAAUGUCGUUUCACUGCCGACAACCUCAACAAGGCAAAGAAUUUAUGCAGCAAGACAGUUGGAGAGAAAAUGAAGAAGAGGGAGCCAGUUGGGGAUGACGAUGAUUCUGUCCCAGACGACGCCCAGAACUUGGAGGCCCUAACGGCGGACACACUAUCGCCCCUCACGGUCACCCAGAUCAAGAAGGUCCGUCUGCUUGUAGAUGAGGCAGUGCAGAAAUCUGACGGUGAGAGGGUAAAGCUGGAGGAAGAGCGCUUUCAAUACCUGCGAGAGAUCGGGAACCUCCUGCAUCCAUCUGUGCCCAUCAGUAAUGAUGAGGAUGCUGAUAACAAAGUGGAGCGCACCUGGGGAGACUGUACUGUGCAGAAGAAGUAUUCCCACGUAGACCUGGUAGUCAUGAUCGACGGCUACGACGGAGAGAAAGGAGCUAUAGUGGCUGGGAGCCGUGGCUACUUCCUCAAAGGGCCGCUAGUUUUCCUGGAGCAGGCAUUGAUCAAUUAUGCUCUGCGGAUGCUCCACAGCAAGAACUACCAAAUGCUCUACACCCCCUUCUUCAUGAGGAAAGAGGUCAUGCAGGAGGUGGCCCAGCUCAGCCAGUUUGAUGAUGAACUUUACAAGGUGAUUGGGAAGAGCAGUGAGAAAUCUGAGGACACGGCCAUAGAUGAGAAGUACCUGAUUGCCACCUCAGAGCAGCCCAUCGCAGCCUUCCUGAGAGACGAGUGGCUGAAGCCAGAGGACCUGCCAAUGCGCUAUGCCGGCCUCUCCACCUGCUUCAGACAGGAAGUGGGUUCCCACGGGCGUGACACCCGAGGAAUCUUCAGGGUGCACCAGUUUGAGAAGAUAGAGCAGUUUGUUUUUGCCUCUCCUCAUGACAACAAGUCCUGGGAGAUGAUGGAUGAGAUGAUUGGGACGGCUGAAGAGUUCUACCAGACACUAGGGAUCCCCUACCGCAUCAUCAACAUAGUCUCAGGUGCUCUGAACCAUGCAGCCAGUAAGAAGCUGGACUUGGAGGCCUGGUUCCCAGGCUCUGCAGCCUUCAGAGAACUGGUCUCCUGCUCCAACUGUUUAGACUACCAGGCCCGUCGGCUGCGUAUCCGCUACGGACAGACCAAAAAGAUGAUGGACAAGACUGACUAUGUGCACAUGCUCAACGCAACCAUGUGUGCCACCACACGUGUAAUGUGUGCUAUCCUGGAGACGUACCAGACCGAAGAGGGUGUCGUCAUUCCAGAGGUACUCCGGAACUUCAUGCCUCCAGGUAUGACAGAGAUGCUGAAGUUUGUGAAGCCUGCGCCUAUUGACGUGGAGACGUCCAAGAAGCAGAAGAAGCAGCAGGAUGGAGGGAAGAAGAAGAAACAGGGAGGUGGAGACCAGCUCCAGAACCAAGUGGAGAACAUGUCUGUCAACGAUUCUUAGACAACAUCAUCAUUCCUAUCCUUAAGUUCCCGUCACUUAUUAUCACAGAGGCCUGUCCUACUGUAGAACCAGAGUACUUUGGAAAAGGGAAAGGCCAUUGGCGUUGUUAGGGAAACAGCUUGGGGGUAAUGUUGGGUCUGCUGCAUGCAAUUAUCGUCACUAAGAUCCAAACAAAGUCUAUCAAGUCUGAACUCUGGAAUUCUGUGAAAUUUCGUUUGAAGCAAACUUGCGACACCUUGUAUAUAAGGUCCUUUAAGAAAUAGGGUUGCUUUGAUGUUCUGAACUCAAUUUUAUUGCAUAUCACCAUAAAUCACACAUGUAAUCUGGACCCAUUGUUUUCCUACAUUGUUAUUUGCCUUGAGGUCAUUUGCUUCUAAUUACGUCUGUAUGUACUAAUUUAAGACGAGGCAUUGAUAAAGUGGUGCGCUGUAACAAUACAAAGUCUGAAUGACACUUUCCUGACGUUUUUUUCUUCUCCCUCCGAUGAUCUGAGAGAUGUCAGUGCCUGCAAUAGCAAUACCUGCAAAACAGUCAGAUAGCGUCUGAACUGAAGGUUAUUCGAUUAAUGCUAUUAAGUGAGAAGUUCAUUUUGGUUAGUCAUUUACCUCCGAGACUUUACACACAAAGCAAGCUCGCCACCUGACGUCAACAGUGCUCAAAUAGUGUGGAGUUAUUUAAAAGGGUUAAGAUCCCAAAUUUAACAAAGAGUUGUAUUAUUGCGUAACGGGGCCUUUACACGUCAUUUACACCCAGAGAUCAUGAACCAGUUGAUUUAGUGGUGUAACAUCCUGAAACACUAACCUUUCAUCUGUUGUUCCAGGAGCACAGCCCUGCCAAAGAUCAGUGAUAUCGGACAAUGAAAGCAGAAUGCACACUAUUAGAGGUUUCAUACAUGACAACUGACUUCAAAACAGCGUGCAUAAUAUUUUUCCUAGUGUAAUACAUAUAUAUUAGUAACUAUUGUUAUUGAGGAUGGGAGGGAAAAAAUCUUGAUAGAUUUUGUGAAUGUUCUUGGCCUCUUGACUGACUUUUUUGCUCUAAGUUUCUGUGGUGUGUUAAGGUGGUCCAUCCGGAGGGCAUGCACAUUUGAAAGAAGCUGUCCAGAUGUCAGAUGACUAGUGUGUCAUUGAAGUACUAUGUCUGACACAGUCGACAGAAAAGCAGCAGAAGAAGAGCAAAGUGUUAGUUUUUGUCCUUGAGCGGGAUUGACAUUUUGGAGCACAAAACCAAGGUGAGAGCCUACUCAGUAAGCAAAAUGGCAUACAAAAUACACAUUUCAGUAAUCUUGUCCUGACAUUAACAUCUUGUCCAUUUAGUUGCUGAAUGAAAGGUAAAAAUAAAUAUUUUUUGGAUGUAAAAACAUCAUUUGCAGACAUUGUAAAUAAGCAUUUUUCAGUUAUUGAUUCUAUGGCCAAAUUUCAGCUGCUAAACAUUUGCAUUACAAUACAAUUAUACUUUUUUUCACAUAUUUCAAUAGAAAAGAGGAGCCAAAUUAAGAUUGCAACAAAAUAUGUAUUAUUACUUCCAACUAUCGUGCAAUUAUGCUUUGCUUUUCCUAAAUCUGGGUGCAAUGAUGUUCAAAGUAGUACAAUAUACAAAAUAAACUAACAGACAACUUCAA
RNA transcript from Oncorhynchus masou masou (cherry salmon), 3251 nucleotides. It is a transcript of the gene named serine--tRNA ligase, cytoplasmic, with no coding region annotated. The transcript is spliced from 12 exons. The record is from RefSeq and is a predicted model, not a curated record. NCBI's taxonomy places the organism in Eukaryota, Metazoa, Chordata, Actinopteri, Salmoniformes, Salmonidae.